RNAcentral lists this ribosomal RNA (421 nucleotides) under uncultured bacterium. Its description in RNAcentral is "partial 16S ribosomal RNA". It matches the Rfam family "Bacterial small subunit ribosomal RNA", at positions 361 to 774 of the family's 1533-position model. The record is from RNAcentral.
AUAUUGGACAAUGGGGGCAACCCUGAUCCAGCCAUGUCGCGUGUGUGAAGAAGGUNUUNNGAUUGNANAGCACUUUAAGUUGGNNNNNAGGGGUUGAAGAUAAUACCUUCAAUCUUUGACGUUACCAACAGAAUAAGCACCGGCUAACUCUGUGCCAGCAGCCGCGGUAAUACAGAGGGUGCAAGCGUUAAUCGGAAUUACUGGGCGUAAAGCGCGCGUAGGUGGUUCAGUAAGAUGGGUGUGAAAUCCCCGGGCUUAACCUGGGAACUGCUUUCAUAACUGCUGAGCUAGAGUACGGUAGAGGGUAGUGGAAUUUCCUGUGUAGCGGUGAAAUGCGUAGAUAUAGGAAGGAACACCAGUGGCGAAGGCGACUACCUGGACUGAUACUGACGCUGAGGUACGAAAGCGUGGGUAGCGAACA